GAUGAACGCUGGCGGCGUGCCUAAUACAUGCAAGUCGAGCGAACAGACGAGGAGCUUGCUCCUCUGACGUUAGCGGCGGACGGGUGAGUAACACGUGGAUAACCUACCUAUAAGACUGGGAUAACUUCGGGAAACCGGAGCUAAUACCGGAUAAUAUAUUGAACCGCAUGGUUCAAUAGUGAAAGACGGUUUUGCUGUCACUUAUAGAUGGAUCCGCGCCGCAUUAGCUAGUUGGUAAGGUAACGGCUUACCAAGGCAACGAUGCGUAGCCGACCUGAGAGGGGUGUCCGGCACACUGGAACCGGAACACGGGCCAAGCUCCUACGGGGAGCAACCAUAGGGAAUCUUCCGCAAUGGGCGAAAGCCUGACGGAGCAACGCCGCGUGAGUGAUGAAGGUCUUCGGAUCGUAAAACUCUGUUAUUAGGGAAGAACAAAUGUGUAAGUAACUAUGCACGUCUUGACGGUACCUAAUCAGAAAGCCACGGCUAACUACGUG
Molecule: ribosomal RNA, 497 nt
Filed under: uncultured bacterium
Lineage: Bacteria
Description: partial 16S ribosomal RNA
Rfam family: Bacterial small subunit ribosomal RNA
Source: RNAcentral